UACAGAGGGUGCGAGCGUUGUCCGGAAUUACUGGGCGUAAAGGGCGCGUAGGCGGCCUGGUAAGUCGGGGGUGAAAGUCAGCGGCUCAACCGCUGGACUGCCUUCGAGACUGCCUGGCUUGAGCAUGGUAGAGGCUGGCGGAAUUCCCGGUGUAGCGGUGGAAUGCGUAGAGAUCGGGAAGAACAUCGGUGGCGAAGGCGGCCAGCUGGGCCAUUGCUGACGCUGAGGCGCGACAGCGUGGGGAGCAAACAGG
RNAcentral lists this ribosomal RNA (253 nucleotides) under uncultured bacterium. Its description in RNAcentral is "partial 16S ribosomal RNA". It matches the Rfam family "Bacterial small subunit ribosomal RNA", at positions 524 to 776 of the family's 1533-position model. The record is from RNAcentral.